UGAGCAACCUGCCCCUGGCUCUGGGAUAACUCCGGGAAACCGGAGCUAAUACCGGAUACGAGACCGAUUGGCAUCUUUACGGUCUGGAAAGUUUUUCGGCCAGGGAUGGGCUCGCGGCCUAUCAGCUUGUUGGUGGGGUAACGGCCCACCAAGGCGACGACGGGUAGCCGGCCUGAGAGGGCGACCGGCCACACUGGGACUGAGACACGGCCCAGACUCCUACGGGAGCA
RNAcentral lists this ribosomal RNA (230 nucleotides) under uncultured bacterium. RNAcentral's name for it is "partial 16S ribosomal RNA". It matches the Rfam family "Bacterial small subunit ribosomal RNA", at positions 118 to 347 of the family's 1533-position model. The record is from RNAcentral.